GUCUUCUUGAUAAAAUAGGAAGUCUGACCUGCCCAGUGAAAAAUAUUUUAACGGCCGCGGUAUAUUGACCGUGCAAAGGUAGCAUAAUCAUUAGUCUUUUAAUAGAGGGCUGGAAUGAAGGGUUUAACGAAGUACUUACUGUCUCAUUUAAUUUGAUAUUAAAAUUUACUUUUUCAGUCAAAAAGCUGAAAUAUUAUUGGAAGACGAGAAGACCCUAUAGAGCUUUAUAUUUAAUUAUUUAAUAAAUUUUUGAUAUAAUUAUUAUUUAUUAUUUAAUAAAAUAUUUUGUUGGGGUGACAAAAAUAUAUAAUUAACUUUUUUAUUUAUAUAACAUUGAUAUAUGAGAAAUAGAUCCAGUUUUACUGAUUAUUAGAAUAAGUUACCUUAGGGAUAACAGCGUAAUCUUCCUUUAGAGUUCAUAUUCACAGGGAGGCUUGCGACCUCGAUGUUGGAUUAAGAUUAUAAUUAGGUGUAGCCGCUUAAAAAAUAGGUCUGUUCGACCUUUAAAUUCUU
This 513-nucleotide ribosomal RNA is filed under the name Anotogaster sp. RF1898. RNAcentral's name for it is "partial 16S rRNA". It matches the Rfam family "Bacterial large subunit ribosomal RNA", at positions 1819 to 2597 of the family's 2925-position model. The record is from RNAcentral. Lineage: Eukaryota; Metazoa; Arthropoda; Insecta; Odonata; Cordulegastridae.